AUACUGGUCAAUGGACGCAAGUCUGAACCAGCCAUGCCGCGUGAAGGAUGAAGGUCCUCUGGAUUGUAAACUUCUUUUAUCUGGGACGAAAACGGGAUUUUUAUCUCAAUUGACGGUACCAGAGGAAUAAGCACCGGCUAACUCCGUGCCAGCAGCCGCGGUAAUACGGAGGGUGCAAGCGUUAUCCGGAUUCACUGGGUUUAAAGGGUGCGUAGGUGGGCAGGUAAGUCAGUGGUGAAAUCUCCGGGCUUAACCCGGAAACUGCCGUUGUUACUAUUUAUCUUGAAUAUUGUGGAGGUAAGCGGAAUAUGUCAUGUAGCGGUGAAAUGCUUAGAUAUGACAUAGAACACCAAUUGCGAAGGCAGCUUACUACACAAUCAUUGACGCUGAGGCACGAAAGCGUGGGGAUCAAACA
Molecule: ribosomal RNA, 415 nt
Filed under: uncultured bacterium
Lineage: Bacteria
Description: bacterial SSU rRNA
Rfam family: Bacterial small subunit ribosomal RNA
Source: RNAcentral